This 76-nucleotide transfer RNA is filed under the name Rubripirellula obstinata. RNAcentral describes it as "tRNA-Gln". It matches the Rfam family "tRNA". Rfam says of the family: Transfer RNA (tRNA) molecules are approximately 80 nucleotides in length. Their secondary structure includes four short double-helical elements and three loops (D, anti-codon, and T loops). Further hydrogen bonds mediate the characteristic L-shaped molecular structure. tRNAs have two regions of fundamental functional importance: the anti-codon, which is responsible for specific mRNA codon recognition, and the 3' end, to which the tRNAs corresponding amino acid is attached (by aminoacyl-tRNA synthetases). tRNAs cope with the degeneracy of the genetic code in two manners: having more than one tRNA (with a specific anti-codon) for a particular amino acid; and 'wobble' base-pairing, i.e. permitting non-standard base-pairing at the 3rd anti-codon position. Lineage: Bacteria; Pseudomonadati; Planctomycetota; Planctomycetia; Pirellulales; Pirellulaceae. RNAcentral also lists the same sequence under 4 other names. The record is from RNAcentral.
GCCGGAGUAGCAGUUGUUGGUCGCUGCACCUCGCUCUGAACGAGGAGUUCAUUGGUUCGAUUCCAGUCUCCGGUGC